GCCCUAGUAGCUUAUACAACAGCGCUGGUCUUGUAAACCAGAGAUGAGGACAUUAACCCUCCAAGGACAA
RNAcentral lists this transfer RNA (70 nucleotides) under Gallotia atlantica (Atlantic lizard). RNAcentral describes it as "tRNA-Thr". It matches the Rfam family "tRNA". Rfam says of the family: Transfer RNA (tRNA) molecules are approximately 80 nucleotides in length. The record is from RNAcentral. Lineage: Eukaryota; Metazoa; Chordata; Lepidosauria; Squamata; Lacertidae.